UCUUGACCAAAUUACGUGCCAGCAGUCGCGGCAAUACGCAGAAGACAAGUGUUAUUCAUCUUUAAUAGGUUUAAAGGGUACCUAGACGGGAAAUAAAGCCAUAAUAGGAACUAAUUUUCUAGGGUUUUAUGGAAGAAAGUCGAAUAUCUGGAGUAGAGAUAAAAUAUUAUGAUACCAGAGAGACGGGUAACGGCGUAGGCAGCUUUCUAUGUAAAAACUGACGUUGAGGAACGAAGCCCUGGGUAACGAUAAGGAUUAGAUACCCCAGUAGUCCAGGGAGACAAUGAUGAAUGCCAUAGGCUAGAUAAAUUAGUCUAUAAAUGAAAGUGCAAGCAUUCCACCUUAAGACUAAAGCGGCAACGCCCAAAUUGAAAUCAUUAGACCGUUCCUGAAACCAGUAGUGAAGUAUGUUAUUUAAUUCGAUGAUCCGCGAAUAACCUUACCACGUUUUGAAUACUAUUCAAUUAAUACAAGCGCUGCACGGCUGUCUUUAGUUAAUGUCGUGAGACUUUGGUUAACUCCUUUAAUUAACGAAAACCCUUGUUUUAUUUAUAC
RNAcentral lists this ribosomal RNA (555 nucleotides) under Agonimia flabelliformis. Its description in RNAcentral is "bacterial SSU rRNA". It matches the Rfam family "Bacterial small subunit ribosomal RNA", at positions 491 to 1120 of the family's 1533-position model. Lineage: Eukaryota; Fungi; Ascomycota; Eurotiomycetes; Verrucariales; Verrucariaceae. The record is from RNAcentral.